CUCCCCCCCCCCCCCCCCCCCCCCCCCCCCCAGGGGUGGGCUGGGCCCAGCUGCCUUUACACAGAUGCCACCUCAGGAAGCUGGCACACUGGUGGCGUUACCUUUGCCCUCAGGGCAGGGUGUAUCACCACUCCCGAGCUCACACUGCCCACAGGGUCUGACCUUCACUGACCUGUUUCUGCAGAUGUUGGCUCCAGCUGCUGGCAAAGGCCCCAGGGUGGACCUGGUUGCCAGUGUAAAGUUGUGGCUGGAGCGAGUGUGUGCACACCUGGGGCUGGGGUUGCAAGAGCCCCACCUGGGGGAGCAGGCAGCUUUUGUGGCCUAUGCUCUGGCCUUUCCCCGGGCCUUCCAGGGCCUCUUAGACACCUACAGUGUGCGGAGGUAAGCUGCAGGCUUUCCCCAGGGGUUGGCCUGGCAGAGCAGCUGCAGCCCCUAACCCUUUGUUUAUGCCUGCAGGAGUGGUCUUCCUAACUUCCUGGCAGUAGCCCUGGCACUGGGGGAGCUGGGCUACAGGGCAGUGGGUGUGAGGCUGGACAGUGGGGACCUACUUCAGCAGGCUCAGGAGAUCCGCAGGGUCUUCCGGACCACUGCUGCCCAGUGAGUCCCCCGCCAGGGGGCAUGCCUUGUAGGAGGCCCUGUGGGGAGCUGGGAGAUGGGGUGUAGAGGCAAGGAGGAAGAGUGUUUUUUUCCCCACAGCGAAGGCUUUGGGUCUUGUUUUAGGGGCAAUAGAGCAGGCCCUGGAAUGGAGGCAUGGGGUGGGUCUACCAGGGUCUCUGAAGCUAAGGACCAAUGUGAAUGUGACUGAGUGGGGGUGGGAGGGAGGCCCAGGUAAAUCGGGAAGGUCUAAGGGGCUGUCCCCAAAUCCCAUCACACACAGGUUCCAGGUGCCCUGGCUGGAGGCUGUCCCCAUCGCUGUCAGCAACAAUAUUGAUGAGGAAGAGCUGGCCCGAUUGGCCCAGGAGGUGGGGUGGAAGUGGGUAGAUGGAGGGUGAUCUGAAGGGUCCUGUAACCCUAUAGGUCCUGGCUGGGCUCAUUUCUACCUCUCCCCCCCAGGGCAGUGAGGUAAACGUCAUUGGCAUUGGCACCAGUGUGGUCACCUGUCCCCAACAGCCUUCCCUUGGCUGCGUCUACAAGGUGGGGACAGUGUCUGGGCCAAGGUUGGGUGGGUCCAGGAGAUUGUGGCAGGUAGAGGACAGGGGUCCAGCUAUCCCAACACUGUCUCCCUGCAGCUGGUAUCUGUGGGAGGUCAACCUCGAAUGAAGCUGACCGAGGACCCUGAGAAACAGACAUUGCCAGGGAGCAAGGCUGCUUUCCGGCUCCUGGGCUCUGAUGGUGAGCCCCUUCCUGUCCCUGGGGCUCUUCUUCAAGGCCCCAGAUCCCCACCACACGUUUGAUAUUCUUGCCCCCCACCCACACAGGGUCUCUGUUGAUGGACCUGCUUCAGUUGGCAGAAGAGCCACCGCCCCAGGCUGGGCAGGAGCUGAGGGUUUGGCCUCGAGGGGCUCAAGAGCCCUGCACCGUGAGGCCCGCCCAGGUGGAGCCCCUGUUGCGACUCUGGCUGCGCCUGGGAGAGGUGACUGCUCCUCACACUUUGAGUCCAGCUGAGACCCGACCCCCAGCCACGCUCAAGCCCUGCUUCUACCCCUCUCCUGCAGCUGUGUGAGCCGCUCCCGUCCCUGUCAGAGUCCAGAGCCUUUGCCCAGCAGUCCCUUAGCCGCCUCAGCCCUGCGCACAGACGGCUGCAGAGCCCUGCAGUGUACCAGGUGGGCAGAAGGCCUGUCACUGGGCAGCCCUGUGUACAUACACCCCACCCUCCACCCUCCACCUGCCAGCCCCCUCCUGUCUCCCACAGGUUGCUCUCUCUGAAAAGCUUCGGGCCCUGGUGGACCGUCUGAGUGCUGGAGGCCUCCUAUGAGAAUCCCUGGCGGUGGGGGGGAGUGCUGCCUGGAAACAACAUGAAUCUUUCAUUGUCCCUACAACUUGUCACGUGUCAUUUAUUCAUUCAGCC
Molecule: long non-coding RNA, 2008 nt
Filed under: Marmota monax (woodchuck)
Lineage: Eukaryota; Metazoa; Chordata; Mammalia; Rodentia; Sciuridae
Source: RNAcentral